This 468-nucleotide ribosomal RNA is filed under the name uncultured bacterium. RNAcentral's name for it is "partial 16S ribosomal RNA". It matches the Rfam family "Bacterial small subunit ribosomal RNA", at positions 28 to 507 of the family's 1533-position model. The record is from RNAcentral.
GACGAACGCUGGCGGCGUGCUUAACACAUGCAAGUCGAACGGAAAGGCCCUGCUUUUGUGGGGUGCUCGAGUGGCGAACGGGUGAGUAACACGUGAGUAACCUGCCCUUGACUUUUGGAUAACUUCAGGAAACUGGGGCUAAUACCGGAUAGGAGCUCCUGCUGCAUGGUGGGGGUUGGAAAGUUUCGGCGGUUGGGGAUGGACUCGCGGCUUAUCAGCUUGUUGGUGGGGUAGUGGCUUACCAAGGCUUUGACGGGUAGCCGGCCUGCGAGGGUGACCGGCCACAUUGGGACUGAGAUACGGCCCAGACUCCUACGGGAGGCAGCAGUGGGGAAUAUUGCACAAUGGGCGGAAGCCUGAUGCAGCAACGCCGCGUGCGGGAUGACGGCCUUCGGGUUGUAAACCGCUUUCGCCUGUGACGAAGCGUGAGUGACGGUAAUGGGUAAAGAAGCACCGGCUAACUACGUG